Molecule: non-coding RNA, 31 nt
Filed under: Rattus norvegicus (Norway rat)
Lineage: Eukaryota; Metazoa; Chordata; Mammalia; Rodentia; Muridae
Source: RNAcentral
AGAGAUGAAUGCCAACGUCCAGCUUUACUUC